UUGGCUCUUCAGUCGAGCAGACAAAGGUCUAACAAGAGCCAGCGGCUGGAGGCUGAAGCUAGACGUGGUCAGGCUGGAAAUAAGGCUGAAAUUCU
Molecule: long non-coding RNA, 95 nt
Organism: Gopherus evgoodei (Goodes thornscrub tortoise)
Lineage: Eukaryota; Metazoa; Chordata; Testudines; Testudinidae
Exons: 3
Source: RefSeq, a predicted model, not a curated record